ACCUGCCCUUAGGUUGGGUAUAAACCCGGGAAACUGGGUAUAAUACCCGAUAGGUCUCGAUUGCUGGAAUGCAUCGAGAUUUAAAGCUCCGGCGCCUAAGGAUGGGUCUGCGGCCUAUCAGGUAGUAGUGGGUGUAGCGUACCUACUAGCCUACGACGGGUACGGGUUGUGAGAGCAAGAGCCCGGAGAUGGAUUCUGAGACACGAAUCCAGGCCCUACGGGGUGCAGCAGGCGCGAAAACUUUACAAUGCUGGCAACAGCGAUAAGGGAACCUCGAGUGCCAGGUUACAAAUCUGGCUGUCGAGAUGCCUAAAAAGCAUUUCAUAGCAAGGGCCGGGCAAGACCGGUGCCAGCCGCCGCGGUAACACCGGCGGCUCGAGUGGUAACCGUUAUUAUUGGGUCUAAAGGGUCUGUAGCCGGCCGGAUAAGUCUCUUGAGAAAUCUGGCAGCUUAACUGUCAGGCUUUCAGGAGAUACUGUCUGGCUCGAGGCCGGGAGAGGUGAGAGGUACUUCAGGGGUAGGGGUGAAAUCUUGUAAUCCUUGAAGGACCACCAGUGGCGAAGGCGUCUCACCAGAACGGACCUGACGGCAAGGGACGAAAGCUAGGGGCACGAACCGGAUUAGAUACCCGGGUAGUCCUAGCCGUAAACGAUACUCGCUAGGUGUCGGCCACGGUGCGACCGUUGUCGGUGCCGUAGGGAAGCCGUGAAGCGAGCCACCUGGGAAGUACGGCCGCAAGGCUGAAACUUAAAGGAAUUGGCGGGGGAGCACCACAACGGGUGGAGCUUGCGGUUUAAUUGGAUUCAACGCCGGAAAUCUUACCGGGACCGACAGCAAUAUGAAGGCCAGGCUGAAGACUUUGCCGGAUUAGCU
This 873-nucleotide ribosomal RNA is filed under the name uncultured Methanosaeta sp. RNAcentral's name for it is "bacterial SSU rRNA". It matches the Rfam family "Archaeal small subunit ribosomal RNA", at positions 107 to 981 of the family's 1478-position model. Lineage: Archaea; Methanobacteriati; Methanobacteriota; Methanomicrobia; Methanotrichales; Methanotrichaceae. The record is from RNAcentral.